UUGCAGCGCUGGCCGUACUCCCGUUUUGUCUCGGGUGUAGAGGAUCCAGCGCUGGUAAUCAAGUAUAGACACUUACCAGCGCUUUUCUUGACCUCCGUGGAAUAAGCAGGUAUCCCAGCAUACCUGAGGAAGCCUCUGGUAAUCAAGCUGGUCUCCUUCCCCGGUUUGCUCUCGCGUUCCCCAAACCCCGAGCAAGCAGGUCUCCUUCCCUGCGGUUUGCAGGGUGGUUCGGGGAACGCGAGAGCAAACCGCGGCGAAGCUGGUCUCCUUUCCCGGUUUGCUCUCUCGUUCCCCGAACCCCCGAGCAAGCAGGUCUCCUUCCCUGCGGUUUGCAGGGUGGUUUGGGGAACGCGAGAGCAAACCGCGGCGAAGCUGGUCUCCUUUCCCGGUUUGCUCUCUCGUUCCCCAAACCCCCGAGCAAGCAGGUCUCCUUCCCUGCGGUUUGCAGGGUGGUUCGGGGAACGCGAGAGCAAACCGCGGCGAAGCUGGUCUCCUUUCCCGGUUUGCUCUCGCGUUCCC
Long non-coding RNA from Gopherus flavomarginatus (Mexican gopher tortoise), 519 nucleotides. RefSeq lists it as uncharacterized. The record is from RefSeq and is a predicted model, not a curated record. The transcript is spliced from 3 exons. Lineage: Eukaryota; Metazoa; Chordata; Testudines; Testudinidae.